Molecule: ribosomal RNA, 496 nt
Filed under: uncultured Bacillota bacterium
Lineage: Bacteria; Bacillati; Bacillota
Description: bacterial SSU rRNA
Rfam family: Bacterial small subunit ribosomal RNA
Source: RNAcentral
ACCGGAUAGGACGAAAGUUUAAAGGUGCUUCUGGCACCGCUGAUGGAUGAGCCUGCGGCGCAUUAGCUAGUUGGUAGGGUAAAGGCCUACCAAGGCGACGAUGCGUAGCCGACCUGAGAGGGUGAACGGCCACACUGGGACUGAGACACGGCCCAGACUCCUACGGGAGGCAGCAGUAGGGAAUCUUCGGCAAUGGGCGAAAGCCUGACCGAGCAACGCCGCGUGAAUGAUGAAGGCCUUCGGGUUGUAAAAUUCUGUUAUAAGGGAAGAACGACUUUAGUAGGAAAUGGCUAGAGUGUGACGGUACCUUAUGAGAAAGCCACGGCUAACUACGUGCCAGCAGCCGCGGUAAUACGUAGGUGGCGAGCGUUAUCCGGAAUUAUUGGGCGUAAAGAGCGCGCAGGUGGUUGAUUAAGUCUGAUGUGAAAGCCCACGGCUUAACCGUGGAGGGUCAUUGGAAACUGGUCGACUUGAGUGCAGAAGAGGGAAGUGGAAU